GGGAGCGGUGUGAACCGAGAGGCUCACGCACCGUUCUGCGGUAACCGGCAUGAGGCCCCCACCUAGCCGCC
This 71-nucleotide non-coding RNA is filed under the name Bradyrhizobium sp. Gha. Lineage: Bacteria; Pseudomonadati; Pseudomonadota; Alphaproteobacteria; Hyphomicrobiales; Nitrobacteraceae. The record is from RNAcentral.